UGUUAAUCCGAAUUUGGGGAUAAUACUUGACUAGAGUGUAAUUAUGGAAAGGCCAAAGCUAAACACAUCGACAUCUAUAGAUCCGUCAACUUAGUAAGAUUUUUUAUUUUUACGUGGUGAGAGAUGUUAAUCGGAAUUUGGGGAUAAUACUUGACUGGAGUGUAAUUAUGGAAAGGCCAAAGCCAAACACAUCGACAUCUAUAGAUCCGUCAACUUAUAUCUGGCAAGCAUACCAGAGGCAUUGAAUUACAAAAUCAUGAAUUCCUUCAGGGCAUUCCUGUUUGCCCCAAAACAACUCCUUUUCGGAGUCCUAUGACCAACUGGGAAUUUGUCAUUUCUGGAGUGUUGGAUUCACAGGAUCCCCCUGAUGCAAUAUCUGGCAACAUGACUACAGUAUUAUGUGUGUAUUCAAUAUUGUGUAUGAAAUUUGCAUGGAUAGUGCAUCCUCGCAAUCAUCUUCUUCUGGCAUGCCAUGCUUCAAAUGAGUCAGUGCAACUCUAUCAGCUCUCACGUUGGCUAAAGCAUCAGCGGUACUUGUCUCAGAAAGAAGAAAAUGUUUCUUCAUGACUUAAAGUUCCUUGAAUAACGUAUAUGCAAGGUCCCAAAUCGUUGCUUGUUUGCUUAUUUUUUGACAAUAGAGUUGGUUAUCAUUGUGGCAUUGAUUGUACAAGUCUGUGCAAGAGUACCUAAUGGCUGAAACGACGCAAAAUGUUUGACUGAUAGCGGAGCACCAGUAUAUGGAGUGGUGAAGGAGAAUCACAUGAUAUUCUUGAAUUAACAAUUCACUUAUGAUUAGCUUGAGAUAUACUUAGUUUUAUAAUUUGCUAUCAUUAUACAUGCAUGUUUUCUGGAUUACUUACGCUUCAGUUUAGUUCUGCUGCUAAAAAAAUGUAUUUGAAAGAGAACAUCUUUUCCCCCCUUGAACUUAUUCUCCCAACUCAGUUUAA
Long non-coding RNA from Capsicum annuum, 947 nucleotides. RefSeq lists it as uncharacterized. The transcript has 2 exons. NCBI's taxonomy places the organism in Eukaryota, Viridiplantae, Streptophyta, Magnoliopsida, Solanales, Solanaceae. The record is from RefSeq and is a predicted model, not a curated record.